This 478-nucleotide ribosomal RNA is filed under the name Busseola sp. BUKEG3718. RNAcentral's name for it is "partial 16S large subunit ribosomal RNA". Lineage: Eukaryota; Metazoa; Arthropoda; Insecta; Lepidoptera; Noctuidae. The record is from RNAcentral.
UGUCUUUUUGAAGAUAAUUUAAAGUCUAAUCUGCCCACUGAUUUAAUAUUAAAGGGCUGCAGUAUAUUGACUGUACAAAGGUAGCAUAAUCAUUAGUCAUUUAAUUGAUGACUUGUAUGAAAGAUUGGAUGAAAUAUAGACUGUCUCUUAUUUAUUUGUGGAAUUUAAUUUUUUAAUUAAAAAGUUAAAAUGAUUUAAAAAGACGAGAAGACCCUAUAGAGUUUUAUAAAUAAUUUAAUAAAGAUUAUUUAUAAAUAAAUUAAUUAAAAUUAACUUAUUUAUUGUGUUGGGGUGAUAGAAAAAUAUAUUUAACUUUUUUUUUUAUAGGGUACAUUUAUAAGUGAUUUGAUGAUCCAAUAAUAUUGAUUAUAAGAAAAAAUUACCUUAGGGAUAACAGCGUAAUUUUUUUUUUUAGUUCAUAUAAGAAAAAAAGUUUGCGACCUCGAUGUUGGAUUAAGAUAAAAUUUAAAUGCAGAAG